RNAcentral lists this ribosomal RNA (637 nucleotides) under uncultured bacterium. RNAcentral's name for it is "bacterial SSU rRNA". It matches the Rfam family "Bacterial small subunit ribosomal RNA", at positions 29 to 677 of the family's 1533-position model. The record is from RNAcentral.
ACAACGCUGGCGGCGUGCCUAACACAUGCAAGUCGAGCGGGGUCCAUCCAGUGGCAACACUGGGGAAGACCUAGCGGCGAACGGGUGAGUAACACGUGAGGAACUUGCCCCGGAGUACGGGAUAACCCGAGGAAACUCGAGCUAAUACCGUAUGCCCUCUUCUGGUCGCAUGGCCGGAUGAGGAAAGAUUCAUCGCUCCGGGAGAGCCUCGCAGCCUAUCAGCUAGUUGGUGGGGUAACGGCCCACCAAGGCAUCGACGGGUAGCUGGUCUGAGAGGACGAUCAGCCACACUGGGACUGAGACACGGCCCAGACUCCUACGGGAGGCAGCAGUGGGGAAUCUUGCGCAAUGGGCGAAAGCCUGACGCAGCAACGCCGCGUGCGGGAUGAAGGCCUUCGGGUUGUAAACCGCUUUCAGCAGGGACGAAAUUGACGGUACCUGCAGAAGAAGCCCCGGCCAACUACGUGCCAGCAGCCGCGGUAGCACGUAGGGGGCGAGCGUUGUCCGGAUUUAUUGGGCGUAAAGAGCUCGUAGGCGGCUCACUAAGUCGGGUGUGAGACCUCCAGGCUCAACCUGGAGACGCCACCUGAUACUGGUGUGGCUAGAGUCCGGUAGGGAGUGUGGAACUCCUGGUGUA